Long non-coding RNA from Cyprinus carpio (common carp), 1948 nucleotides. The record is from Ensembl. Lineage: Eukaryota; Metazoa; Chordata; Actinopteri; Cypriniformes; Cyprinidae.
CGUGGAGAGCGAGAGCAAUGAGGCGAGCGGCAAAUUCAAGCAAAAUACCAAAGACUGGUUACAAUGUCUUAAAAACGUAAAUAUUCCUUUGCAAGCUAGCACAGGAUUCCGACCUGGAGCCAGUUACUGUGUGGCCGAGGUCUUUAACAACGUCAAUCAGGUAUGUAUUUUCUUUAAUAAUAAGACAUUAAUCAAUGCAUGUGACGAAUGAAAACAAGCACUAUUAAAGUCAACAAAAUAGAGCUUUCAAAAAUUACUGUAUAAGUGCGACAGAUCCUUAAAUAUACCUUAAGUGUAUAAAUGAUUGCAACUGCACUGAAUGUUAUAGUUUGCAUUAGUUUAUUUAACGCUAACAGCCUGUGUGUGGGUUUAUGAACAUGCUUUAUAAAAAAAGAAGAGGAGGAGGAUUUGAUUGGUUGGCACGUUGCCAGUGUAUUGUCAGUCACCGAGUGUAAACAAGACUCUGAUUGGCUGCUCGCCAGUCCUCAUUGGGCUAUCUGGAAAAAAAAGGAAGAAAUAACUGGAUCUGCGGUUUCAAGGCGUCCCAGGUUAGAAAUGAUGAAAACAGAUAAGAAGGAACUGUUUCAAGGCGCUCCAAAAGGCGGACCCUCUGUGGCCCUGGAGCCGUACUCGGAGGACGCGAGAAGAAGUAGAGAAAGAAAUGUUCGAUGUGCUGAAGGAUUCAAAUUUGUUGCGCAGUAUCUGGAACAGAUAAACAUGAAACAGUCACAUGGCGGAUCUCGGAGCACAACGAAGACGACGGCUGUGAAUCGCCGGAUCGGCUUUUACCAUGGACAAAGCGGAUUCCAGCCCGGGGUUGUCACAUGUGGUUGCCCGUCGGCCACUCCUUUGUCAAAUACACUGGCCGCGCCAUUCUCAAGCACGCCGGCCGUUCGUCAGUUCCAACUUUGCAAGGACAGUCUUGCACUUCUGACUCAAAGUCUGUAAGUAUGUUUUUUAUAUUUAACAAAUUUGCCACUGAUGAUUCAAACGCGAGUUUUGAUCAGUGUAGAGUAGCGCUUGUUGUUUGUCAUUUCUCCAGACAUGGUUUUAUGUUUACACAGCGCGAUACACAACAUAAUGCGUAAAAAGACAGUAUAAGUCAUUAUAAUCAGUAAUUAUGUCCCCACUGGGUGCAACAAAUGCCUUGUUUAUAAUGGGUUUUAUUGUUUUUGUCUUGUUGUGCACAGGGCAUAUGUAAUGCAAGUAUGUUAAGGGGCACAACAUUUCCGUCACGCGCUUGAGGUAUUCAGCCAAUCACAAUGCACUGGAUAGCUGGCCAAUCAGCCCACUUGCACUGCUUGUCACAUGUUUAGUGUAGCUUUCUCUGUCAGCGGCGAGGGAUUCACAUGUGAUAAAUGCAGGGAUAUAGUUAGGCUGCUAUUACUACUAGCUCAGCGAGUCCCAUACGUGUUUGGUUCCGGUUGCAGAGCCCCCACAUCACGGCGACUGGGUGACUGUGAGACAGCAUAGUCACGGGUCAAAACACUGAUCUUACUUUCUGAUUAAAACUUUAAACAGGUUCUCCCCACUCAGUGACGCACCCACUGAGACACCUGUUGAAAGAGCCCUAGUUAUUGGCUAUUCUAUUGUAUGGAAAAUGAAAAUAGAGAUACCAGCCACCAUAGUCCUAUGUUUACCAGGAGCCAAAGCGCCUGACAUCUUGGCAAAUUUGAAAGUGCUGGCUAAUGCUAAAUGUAAAUUCAGUAAGAUUAUUAUUCACAUCGGCACUAAUUAUGUCCGACUUCGCCAGUCGGAGAUCACUACAAAUAACAUUAAAGAGGUGUGUGAACUUGCAAGUACGAUGUCAGACACUGUAAUACAUAGCAGGCUGUCAUCACUCAAUGGCUGGAUGUCUAAGUGGUGCCCGCAGAAUAACAUUAGACAAUUUUUUGGGGCAGAACUGACCUGUUGAAAAGAGGUGCUGUUCUUCUCUCUAGAAAUAUGG